AAAAUCAUAUGAUAUAAUACUGAAAUAAUGAAUUGUAUUUCCGUGCAGUACGUAGUUCGUUUUCCUCUCAGUAUAUUCUCAAUUAAUCUAUAUAAAUAAAGAACACUCUUGCCUUUUCUUCUCUCCUGUAUAUUCUAUUUUCUGAUAAACUACAGAUCAACAGAUGUGAUUAAUUAGGGUUUUCUUUCAGUACACCAUACAUAAGCAUCUAUGCUUCUUUCGUACAAAGCAGAUAAACAUUGUCAAUUUAUUUUAAAGAGUAAAGUGACCAAACAUAGAUUAAUCUGGAGAACAAAACUAAAACGAUCACUUCAUGAUACCAAACUUUACCUUGUUUAACGGACUACAUGGUGCAAUACAGCAACUAAUUAACCACGCACAUACAGAAGAAACUUCAUAUUUUGCAACGAACUAUUGGUAGAGGUGAUCGAUUGACGUACGUACGUACCAUUAGUUCUUCUCUCUUUUGCAAAAUGAGUUUUGGCUUCGGACUUUCCUUGGUGUCAGUUAACUUCCCUAAACAAAAUGACUCAGGAUAUAGUUCCUUUGCACAAGUAAGAAACAGAUCGUUAAGAUACAAGCACUAUGUCUUCGAUUAUACAAGAUUGUAUGUAGUUCGCGAUUUCUUGGCAAAGGAACGUCCAACAGGCACUUUGGAUCAAUUGUGCCACCAUACCAUUCACUGAUUCUAGUUUGUUUCAUUAGUUGUCCAUACUUGGAAAUGCUAAGCAGCAAAAUUAUAUUGUUGUUAAUUGGUUUCUUUUACAUGUUGUUCAUGUUUCAGUUUGCAGAAAUUUUAAAGAACUCUCUUGAAUUUUACUUGAUGUGGAGAGAAUUCCUUACUGUUAAGGCCGGCCUAAUUGUCAACUAGAGGGUGUCCAUGCAAACCAUUACUAAUUAAGACCAAGGUUCUAAAAGGCGCCAUCUUGUCCCGCCUAGGCUAUAGGCGAGCUAAGCCACCUGGAUUUUCUCUAAAGUGUUCAAGUAAGGCGGUCAGCCGCCCAGGGACCGCCUAGGUGGUCAAGGCGCCGUCAAGGCAAAGCAAGCGCGUCCAAGGCGGUCUUGGGCUAGGCGCGACUAGGUGAAGUCGGCGCUUCUGAACAAAAAAAAGAUCCAAUAAAAACUAAAACUUGUGGACGCCCUUGAGCCUCGUCAUGCUUUGAUUCCCGAAGAUGCCUCGGUGUUGUCCACCAUCGGAGCCACGAUUAACUUGGGUUGGAUGAAGCAGAGGAUGUUGUCGAGGUAGUCGGGAAUGUUCGGUGGUUGAGUAGUGAGGCCAUUUGAGAUUUGGGUUUGAGGGUGAGGUUUUGCUAGAGGAUUGAGAAGUUUGAAUUCCAUGAGAGGACGAUUCUGGAAAUGCUCCUCUACUGUGUAUUGCAGAAUUGAAGCAGAGGAGAUCAUUUACCAGAUCUGGGUUUGUUUGAUUUUUUUUCUUUUUUGAAUUGAAGCAGACGAGAUCAUUUACCAGAUCUGGGUUCGUUUGAUUUUUUUUUUUCUUUUUCUGGGAAUGAAGAGGCAAGAAAGGGGAUAGAUGUUUAGUCGAAAAAAGAAUGAGAUAGAUGUGAAGAAGAAUUGGUAAGAAUGUUUUUGCUUACUUUCAUUGAUACAGUACAGCUAUAUAUACAAGAAUUAGGACCAUUUUAGAUCCUGAAGAUUAGCAAUCAUAUUAAGGAUUUGCUGUCAAUUUCUAUCCUACAAAUAUGCAUCAAUUACAUCUCUAUGAUUUUGCAUAUCCCCUUAGAUAGAAUGCGGCUAUUGAGACUUCCAAAUUUGCUCAGUAUACCUCUCAUGUUAUUUAUACCUCCUUUUUAAUUUUAACUACAAACAUUUGCUCAUUAGACCUCAUUUCAAAUUUCUAAAAUAACCUUAGGUAUGUUAUUCAUAUAUAUCUUGAUAAUUUACUCAUUAUACCUCUUAUUUAUUCUCUAGACCUCUCAUUCUUUUUAAUUUUUUUUUUCUUUUUGCAUGCUGUCAUCGAGACCUCUAUUCCUUUAUUUUUUUUUUUUCAUUCAAACCACUUUCACGACCUCAAUUCCUUGAUAUUUUUUUAUUUCCCAUAGAAUGUCACCAAACCUCCAUUAUUUGAUCAAUUUGUAAGAAAUUUUUUUCAAUGACGUCAAUUUUUCUCUUAAAAAUCAAAUAACACAAAGUAUUGGGUUUCAAAAACUUAUAUUUAUCAACCCAGUACCGUCUCUUCUUAUAACUGAGAGGUCAUGAGUUCGACUCACAGUCAGUGACGUAGCCAGAGUAGGACGAGGAGGUUCAUAUGACCCCUCUAAGUUUUUGACCAAACCAUGAUUGGUGGGUAUAAUUAGAGGUUGUGCAUGCAUAUAUUAUAUUUUGAUGUAAUUUUUGACCCUUGUAACUUAAGAGAAAAGAAAGUGUUUUAAAAUGUUUGGCUCAUUCACUAUGAAUAUGUGGAGGGGACUCAUUGAUUAUGUUUUUAUUACAUUUUUGUCAUUGCCUGAUUAAUCGAUGAAUGUUCUUUGUUAUAUUUUCGUCUUCUAGUUUAUAUAUGUUUUUCNNNNNNNNNNNNNNNNNNNNANAUAUAUAUAUAUAUAUAUAUAUAUAUAUAUAUAUAUAUAUAGUGAAAGAAUAUUUGAUAACGAAACCGGCCAUCAAAGAAAAAAAAUAUAACAUAUGAGGAAUUGUCAUGAACAGAUUUAGUUGUUUAGAGAAACUUGUCAUUUUUUCAUAUUGUAAUGAUUUAUGUUCUUAAACUAUCUAAAGCAUAAACAAAUUCAUGCAAGUUUUUUUAUUUAAUGAUAUUUUUGUUUAAUAUGAUCUUCGCUAUUUAUAUAUAUUCUGACCCUUCUAGUUGGUUUUUCUGGCUACGCCACUGCUCACAGUAGACUCGUUGUAGCAUAUUAGUUGUUUAUAUGAUAAAAAAAAAAUUAUAUUUACCAACAAGAAAAUAUUCUAUCAUAAAUUAGCUUUUUUAUUUCUAUUUUACUUGUGCUAAACAACGAUUAAGGAUAACAAUUGUAUACUAUAUAUGUUUUUUUUUCCCUCUAUAUAUUUUAUGUACAUCAUGAAAUUAUUUCAAUAGUUAUUUAAUUUUUCAUUAUCGAUAUCUUUUUGCAUAUAUAUUCUUUCACCUAUCUACUAUCAACAUGUAUGAUAGUAGAAAAUUUUAUGUCACACGGUCGAUAUUUAUCAUAGUUUUAGCUUUAAUUAAAUAUAUAAUAUGUAAUAAAAUUUAGAAAAUAGUAAAUUAGAAAUUAAAAAUAUACAAGGAAAAUAAGAAAGAAUACAAUCAAUUAAUUAUCAAAUUGGAAAGUCUAGAGAGAAUAAAUAUACUUCUUUUUGUAUGAUUAUUGUUCUUAAUAGUCAUUACGUAAGAGGAAAUAAUUGUCAUUCAAUAACUCAUAACAAAGGGAAGUCAAGUGAGCAAAUUUGGAGGUCUCAAUAGCCGCACUCCCUUAGAUAAAACUGAUUACUAAGAGAUACAAAUCAGUGAUUAUGCAGCAGAAAUUUAGCACAAGAUUAUUGCUUAUCACCCCCCCAACAAGCUAAUGGUCCGUGGGCGAACAGGAAGCUUGUCAAGAAGGUACUGAAAUCUGUUGGUGGAUAGACCUUUGGUGAAUAUAUCUGCCAGUUGAUCUUGAGAACAUAUAUAGCAAACUUGAAUUUCCUUACGCACCACAUUUUCUCUUAUAUAAUGAUAGCUAGUCAACCUCCACAUGACAUGUGCGGGUAUGGAAGACUGGAUUGGAAGCUAAAGAAAUAGCACUGAUGUUAUCACACCAUAAUUUAGGAGGUUGAAGUGGAAUUCGUAAGGCACGAAAUAGGAUGCGAAACCAAGAGAGAUGAGCAGCUGUGUAGGCCAGUUGGCGAUAAUCUACCUCCGUGUUUGAGCGGGAAACACCUGCUUGCUUUAAUUUUAGAGCUCCAGGAAAUCAGAUUUUUUCCUAAAUAAAUACAUGUACAUGCCACCAGUUGAAAUUCUAGUGUUUGGAUCCCCAGCAUAAUCAAAAUCACUAUAGCCAGUGAUAUGCAAAGAGCUUGGGGUGUAAAAUAAGCCAUAGGUAGGAGUGUGUUUUAGGUAACGGAGAAUCCCAGCAACCCAAUGGAUAGUAGUUGGAGAAUGAAGAAACUGGCAAACCUGAUUAACAGCAUAAGAGAUAUCAGGUCGAGUGAUGGUUAAAUACUGCAAGGCUCCUACCACGCUGCGAUACUCAGUGCCAUCUGGAAGAGGAGUUCUGUCAGUGAUGCUAAGACGCUUGUUACUUGUUGGGGUAGAAGCAGGUCGUACAUUAGUUAUAUUGGUACGAUGGAGAAGAUCUAGGUGUACUUUGUUUGUGUGAGAGCAAGGCCACUAGAGGAGCGCACUGCUUCAAUUCCCAUGAAAUAGUGCAAAAGGCCCAAGUCCUUCAUUGAGAAUAGUUUACCCAAAUUGGCAAUGAUAUUGUUGAUGUGAGCAAGAUGAGUACCAGUAUUGAGGAUAUCAUCUACAUAUAUAUAUCAGAAGAUAAAGCUUGAUGGAGCCUGAGUGAUAAGUGAAAAGAGAGGAAUCGGCAUGAGAGGCAGUGAACCCCAAUUCUUCCAAAUAGGCAGAGAAACAAGAGAACCAAGCACGAGGGGCUUGUUUGAGGCCAUACAAGCUGCGUCGUAGUUUGCAAACAUGUUUGGGAUACUGGGAAUCAAUAAAACCUUGCGGUUGCUGCAUAUAGGCAUCUUCUGACAAAUAUCCAUGUAAGAAGGCAUUUUGCACAUCCAAUUGUCUUAUAGUCCAACCAAAGGAGACAACAAUAGCUAAAAUUAAUCUAAUGGAAAAAUGUUUGAUUACCGGACUGAAUGUUUCACCAUAGUCAAUACCUUCUUGCUGCUGAAAGCCCUUGGCAACCAGCCGGGCUUUGUAUCGCUCCACCGAGCCGUCAGGCUUCCUCUUUAUGCGAUAAACCCAUUUAUUGGGAAGAAUGUUCAUUGAACUGGAAGAUGGUACAAGUUCCCAUGUACUUGCUUGAAUCAAAGCAUUAAAUUCUGCACUCAUUGUCGAGCGCCAUUCUUCCUGCUUCACUGCUUGAUUGAAACAUGUGGGUUCAAUUUGGUGAGUAAGAAAGGUGACUACCAUAGCAUACUUCGGAUUGGGUUUCUGAAUCCCUCGCUGGCUACGGGUUACAGGUGCAGAUGGCUCCAAGGAGGAUGAUUGAGGAUUGGAGGUAAAAUGUUGUAUCUCUGGUGGCGGAAGAGAAAGUUGAGAGAUAGGGUUGACAGGUGCCGAUGUGGUUGAUACAUGCCGGCGGCGAUAGGUUUGAAUAGGUGGAGCAGUGGGUUGGGUGGAGAGUGUAUUUUGGUUAUGUGAGGAAUUGGGAGCAAUAAUCUCGGUGGUGAGGGGAUUGAAAUGGUUUGCUGUUGAUGGGCUUAAGGUUUGGGCUUGUGAUGGAGGAAAUUGGGUGAUUGUGGUAGUAGUUACUAUGAGAGGAUUUGGAUCAUGCCUGGUAGCUGUCGUUGGAGAGGAAGUGCUAGUGGAUUCUUUGAAGGAAAAAGAGGACUCAUCAAAGAUUACAUGACGGGAGAGAUAAACAAGACCAGAAGACAAGUCUAAGCAACGAUAUCCUUUGUGAUGUAAGGAAUAACCGAGAAAAACACACUUUGUAGAGCGAAAAUCCAAUUUGUUCUUGUUAUAAGGACGAAGAUAAGGAUAGCAAGAGCAGCCAAAUGUACAAAGAGAAGAGUAAGUGGGUGUACUUUGAAAUAAUUUUUCAUAUGGAGAAAGAAAAUUUAAGACACGAGUUGGAAGUCUAUUUAUGAGAUAAAGAGCAGUGUUAAGGGCCUCAACCCAAUAUGUUUUGGGAACUGAAGCGUGAGCAAGAAGAGUAAGAGCAGUUUCAACAAGAUGACGAUGCUUUCGUUUGGCUAAACCAUUUUGUUUUGGAUGAUGGGGGCACGAGAUUCGAUGGUGAAUACCUUUUUGAAGGAAGAAAUUCUUGAAUGCAUUACUUGUGUAUUCACCACCACCAUUAGAUUAAAAUUGUUUGAUUGUUGUAGAAAACUGAUUUUGAAUGUAGGUGAAGAAAGCAGUGAAAAUAGAGAGAACUUCAGAUUUAUAUUUAAUGGGAAAAAGCCAUGUAUAACCGGAGAAAUAAUCAAUAAAGACAACAUAAUAUUUAAAGCCUUGUAUUGAUAGAUGAGGAAAGGUCCAUACAUCACUAUGAAUUAAAUCAAAUGCAGACAAGGAAACAGAUUCGGACAAGGAAAAAGGUAAUUUUGUGGGUUUUCCAAGGGACAUGAGUGACACAUCGAUGGGAGUUUAUUUUCUAACAACAAUAACCUAGAGGAAAGAUGACGAAAAAUAUUUGUUGAGGGAUGGCCAAGUCGUGAGUGCCAGAUAUUUGCAGCUACACGAGUGACUGAAAGAGUGGUGAAAAGGCUUGAUUUAUUUGAAGAUGGACCAUUAUUGAUUGGAUAGAAUCCAUUAGCACUCGGACCCUCCAAAAGCGUCCUCCCGGAAUGCAUGUCCUUCACAUAAAAGGCAUUGGGUAAGAUUAAUAUAUAACAUGAAUUAUCAGUUAAUAAUUUGUAAGCAGAGAGAAUAUUGGCAGAGGAAUUUGGGCAGUAUAAAACAUCAGAGAGAGUAAUAGGUGAGGUAGGAGAAUUAAGAGAAGUGGUUCCAAUUUUGGAGAUCUGCAAACCUGGACCAGAAACAACACCUCCAACAGUGUCCAUGCCAUUUUAUGGACGAGCAUCAGUGAGGGCAUUGGGAUCAUUGGUAAUAUGAGUAUUUAAACCCGUGUCAAGGAGCGAGCUAGGCCGAGGAGAAGGAUUGGGGUGAUGUAGCAGCGGCAGCCAUGGCAGAGAGGCGAUGAGUUGGGGUCCGACCUUCAUACGCCAUAUUGAGACGAUGAUAGCAAUCUAUUGCUAUGUGACCACCUCGUCCACAAAUUUGACAAGGGCCACGGUCAUGAGAUGCAGGUGCGGGACCAAGGACGGAGCCGCCACGGGAUGGAGGUCGAAAGUUGGAACCUCGGCUGUAGAAACAGGGUCCAGAGGAAGAUCCAUGUGCAGAAUAAUUGCCACGGCCUCUUGGAGAGCUAUUGAAUGAACCACGACCACGGGAGCCGCCGGUAGAGGAGCGGUUUGUGACCAAGGUUGUAGGAGCAGAUUCAAGGGUUAUGUUGUUGUGGUUGCUUAUCAAGAUGAUUAUUGUUGCAAGUUGCAACACAUGUAGACAAGAGCGGGUUUAUUGAAUGAGAAAUUUGUUUGAAUGGUAUACGAACUUUUGCUCCUAUAAACUUUGGUAUAUCAAGUUUUAAAAAUAUCAGAUAGGUAUCUCAUGUUUUCAUCCCGACUUAAUAUUGGUAUAUAUAGCUAUUAAGAUAACAAAUUUACCCUCAGACAAAAAAAAGAUGUGUUCUAGGAUAUUCUCUAUGUGUGCCUUGGCCUUAUGCCAAUAGGAUAUGUAGUUAGACUAGAUCUAUGUAUUCAUAUCCUUACCAUAAUGGUAUUGUGUAAUUCCCUAUAAAGGGCUCCUAUCAAUGAAUAAGAUGAUGACUCUCUUGCUAUCUCUUUGUCUCUACACUUUAUUCUUCAUCACGUUAUCAUGCACUUUGUUCUAACCCUAGAGCCAAUAGCCCACCAUUUUUUUUCCAAACCCUAAAAACCAAAACCCUAAAAUUGGGCAGCCUUGUUUUUCCCGAUUUCUGACCAAAAUUCCGACUGCCCUCCGCCGGAAUUUUAUAUCCCCAGAAAUCUCUUUCCGUCACGGAUCCAACGCUGCCGGCCUCACCCUGAGAACCGGCCGGAAAGUCUCCGAACCGGCCGCCGGAAAAUUCCAGACCACCGCCGCUACCGACCACCGGUUCACCACCUUCCCUUGCUCCGAUCAACCUGAAAUUUUGACAGAAGCUUCCCCAUCCAGAGCUGCUCCUCCUGUCAAAUUUUCAGCCCCAAAUUCGAAGUAUAAGUAGGCGAAACGUUAUUUCUCCUCACGGCAGCCUUUAGAAAGGUAUGUUUUGAAACCUUAAACUCUUCCAAGUUCAAUAACUCAGGGAGGAUAAAAUCAUUUCCUCCUUUCUCCAUCUCCAUUCUAUGCUUGGGAUUUUGUGUGUGCAGGUACCAAAAAUCCCGGAAUUUUAUUCGCGGGUCAAGAGUAUGUUGGAUCACUCUUGUUUCUUUGUCCGGGUUGUGUUUGAUCAACCCCGACCUUUCACCGGAUUGUGUUUGAUCAAUCCGAGGCCUUUUUCAGAAUUGUGUUUGAUCAAUUCGCGGCUUUUUCCGGAUUGUGUAUGAUCAAUCCGAAGGACAAACCAUUUAAAAGCAUCGUUUGUGACCUCUAUCGAGUCUCAUAACAGCUUGGUUUUGUAUGCAAGAGCAAUGUAACAUUCUGCUCCUUUGAGUUUUGACGUACUAGAUGCCUAAGGCGGAUCUUCGCUUGGUAUCUGUGGAACCUUUCAUUGGAAAGGAUUAAACCACAUGUUUUGACCCCCAGGCUAACAAGCCUAGAUGCCGAGAUUUCACAUCUCAUGCGCUCAAAGUUUUGGAAGCGCCACAUCGACAAAAGCCUUCAAUGGCAACCUGUGCAAAAAGUAAUGACCACAAAGUACUGUGGAAUGCACUCAUGGAGCAUUUCUCGAAACGUUCAUAUAACUCUACUUGUUGAGUUAUUAGUCAAGUGGAUUGCUUACCACCUUAAUUGACUACAUAUUGUCGAUGAUCUUUUGUGGCAUCAUGAUCCAUAAUCUUUAGCGGAUUCGAUCAUCAUCAAGUUCUCUAGGUCCUCCAAGUUGGUGUGGAAUUACCAACAAGACUUGAUUUUGAUCAUACAAACGAGAAUUGUAUAUACGCUAAUGUGAUAAACUUAUUUGGGAUUAUCCUCUAAUGUGGGGACAACAGUAUGGGUCAUGGCAACGGCAGAAAACGUCGUGCCGAUGUCUAGAAAAGAGGGGGAGGUGUUGCCGGCUCUAAUAGCGACACUCCCGGUCUAGACACUAUUUUGUCAAAACUACUCACGUCAGCUCAUGACAUUAAUGCAACCGUUGUGGAUCUUCGGAUCACUAGUUCAAGAUUGUCAAGCUCCUUUAAGUUGUGAAUGCAUACAAAAAAGUAUGGAAAAUCAAUAUGAGGACAAGAACGUCAUCCUCAUGAUCGCGAAUAUCAAAGAUUCAGAUCCUGCCCUAGCUACCCAUGACUUUGAUGUCAUCGGCUAGACAUUGAUUUUCGUUCCAAGUUAUAUGUACUAAGGCGUUGUAUCGACGUCCUUUGUCUAUUUCAGACCUUGAUGUACUCACAUUAGCAAUAAUGAAUGCCUUGAGAAUUUUUUCGAAGUGAAACUAUUCUCCUCUUAUGGUUCAUAUUGAUUUACAAUCAAGAUGUACACUUACAUCGUCCUUAGAAACAUGGCAUAUUGUGCCGAUUUUGGUCCCUUCCUUUGAAGGUGACUCUUGGCACUGCAUCCUCAAGGAGGAUCGCCCACGUGUUUCCGGUUAAGUCUUCUACCCUAUAGCGGAUUUUUCAUCAUCAAUUGUUAAACUAGGCUCAUCCAAGCUCAGUGUGAUGUCUUAGAAUUGUCCGAAAUUAAGGAGAUAGUGGUUUUAAGUGUGCAUCGCACUACCGACCCUCCACGGACAUGCCUGGUCAUACUGACUUGGAGUUACCGAAAGCUUUUGAUUUUGGAUCCGCCGACGCUAUUAAACCAAUUGCCGUCUUGCAAAAGACGUUGAAGACUUAUCAAAGCUGGAAAAUUAUCAUCAUGAUCGGAUCCUCUAGGUCCUCUGAGUUAGUUUAUGUUCAUGUCAGGGAGCUUUUGCUAACUAGUUAUGGAGUUUACGACCUUAGAACGACCGAAAGGACUUGGUUUUGAUCAUACACACGUCACUUUUGGCUAAGGCAAAAGCCUACACGCCACCUGCAAGCUUCACAACUUCGCACAUGCCAAAUCUGCGAAAAACAGCAAUCUGUCCCUUCUGGACAGUCAACUUCGUUUGNNNNNNNNNNNNNNNNNNNNAGCUUUAUAUCAUUGGAAAGCUCUAUGAGUCUAGUUUUCAGAACUUUUCACGGUUCAUCCAUAUCUAUUUUAACGAAGAAGUUAUGGCUGUUUUAGUGCGCAAAGGUCAUUCUGCGCGGAAAUUUUUAUGCACUCUCGGGAUUGCAGCUUUUCGUAGCUUCUUUCAAUCCUUCUAAAUGGUUCAAGUAGAACUAUUUACUCGCCUAUCUACUCCUUGUAGUUAUGUCUUAUAGAGACAUUGAGUGCUUCGCAGAUAGUGGAACUAUCCACAACAUUCUAAGGAAUCAUGUUGAGCUUUAAAGACAUUCAUGCUAAUGGUUUUCAUUUGAAAACACAUUGUGAGAAUGAACAAGAAUUCUUUUGUGUAUACCUCCUCAUGAAUGCGAACUGAAGCGCAUCUUGGAGAAAUUCAUGAGUCAAUCUAGUGAACUGUAUGUCACUACGAUUCGAAUAUCGAAUCUCAUGUUGUCGCCAAACAUGAUAUUUGGGACACCGACUCAUAUAGGCUUUGGUUUGACCAAAUUGGUCAACAUGGAAGAGAUAUAAUUGUCCAAAUUUUGAGAAAUUCUCAUGGACAUCCAUUCUUCCGCUCAAAACGAAGACAUUCGAGAUCUAGCAUCACCAUGAAGCAUGGUGGUGACCCGGGGGACAUUGACAUCACCCGAACACGACUCCAACUUCCUGGAGAUCGUCCGGUCAAUUCCUCAAGCAAUUGAGGUGCACCGGCCUUUCCUCGAUGUCGCAUUGCCCCCUUGCAAUGCUCAUUGCUUGUUUUGAAAGCCUAUUCUUUAGCUAAAUAAGGAGUGAGACCGUCCUACGCUAAAUAACACAAAAGUGAACAUUCUAUUCUUACAUAAAAUUAUGUAGAUAGAUACAACCAACUUGCGGACACCUUUUAUGCUUUAUGGUGUUGGUUGAAGUGUUAGCACACUGGUCACGUGUUACACUAUUAUCUACUGCUUAUGCUGCUUAUACUUCUACGGGCUCACUACCCAUUCUUUAAAGAAGUUCAUCGGGAUGUAAGUUGAAGUGUCCUGUACCCCAUGUUCACACGCAAUACGGUCUCACCGAGGCUACGACCAAGCAACUUUAGCUUGUCGCUCGAACAUUAUUGAUACGCACCACUCUUUCUAUUGCGUCUUGGGGCUAUGCAAUAUUUGCAUGCAGCUUUACUAUUCAUCUAUGACCCACCAUCAUUGAAUUUUGUUGUACUACAGCUCGUGACUGUGUACCAGGAUUGACACGAAAUUGCAAUCCUUGAGCUCGGCAGGAUUGAAACGGAUCUCCAAUCCUUGAGCUCGGCUAGAUGUUAUUUCUAGGUGCCAAAUCGCAUUGCCACUGCGUACAAUGAUGGGUCAUUUGAGAUGAAUAAGUUUAGGUUGGAUAUGAACCUCCACCUAUAAUUCGCAUAUGUAGGAACCUUGUCAGGCGAUCUCAUUCACCGCUAAAUUGCGGAUUGUCACUUUGAUGAGACAAUAUUCCCGCCGUUAGGGGGAGAAAAGAACACAAGUGUUUAAGUGGAACGACGUGAAUUGUCGUGGUUUGUCCCCACUAAGUCUCAUCUUGAUCCCAAAUGCUUAUAAUGUUAAAGUGACGAGAUCACAUGCUGCAAAUAUGUCUACAAGGAUUGAUGUCCUACAAAAGGACAUGGCGCGACCAAAAAGUGUUGGUCUUGACGCCAUCACCAUGGAUGGUGAUAUGGUGACGCCAUAUAGUGGCAAAAUUGGUGUCAUAAGGCCGUGUGGCUCCCUAAAAGGAGGGAGGCCCUUAGGUUCGAUAUUGUCUUGCACUAGAAAGAAAGCGAGCUUGGCACAACCUGAUACAUUGAUCAGUGAUACUCAAAUCCGUCUCAUGAAGUCUGAAUUGUGAUUAUCGUUGGGGGACGCCUCAAUGUCAAAUCCAAUCCAUAUAGAGAUCUCUAUAAGUAUUACACUAGUGUACAUGAGGACGUGAGAUAAUGAGUCUACUAUCGAACCACCAUUCGUUGAUGGAUAUCAACUUAGUUGAUUGGCCUAAUGGAAAGAUACGAUCCAGCAUUAACAAAUAGAUAGGUCCUUGGGCAGGUGAUGCCGACACCGCAAGCUAAACCCUAUCAACUAUACCUUUGUUAGAUAGCGUAGUGAGAGUAAGAGCUUAGACUCACCUUAUGGCGCAAGGUCUUUCACUAACACGCACUGGGAUCAACUACGAUGAGAUAUGCUCUCGUAAUGGAUGUCAUUGAACUCCACUACUUUGUCAGUUUGGUAGUUUCCGAAUAACUGAACAUGCAGCCUAUGAAUGUGGUCAUAAUAACAUCUCUAUGGGAUCAGAGAUAUACAUAGAAGNNNNNNNNNNNNNNNNNNNNAAUUGAAGGUCAUGCUGCGCGGAAAUCUGAUUUCCUGCACGAACUUAUGUUUUGAGUUCACAAGCAACCUUCUCCUCAAGAUCUAAGUGUAAAAGAUCAUUUGAGGACAAUACGGCAUGAUUUAGUUAAUCAUUGCCUAAUAUCACAUUUGAAGACAUGUUAAAAAGCAUUGACAUGCUAAGUUGUUGAAACUUCCGUGAUUAGUAAGAAUCAGGAAGAGCCCUAUGAUUGAUGUAAAGAUCAGGGGGAGUGCGAACUUCAGGGGGGAUCUAGCACAUACAUACAUGUCACUAUCAAAUGUGAAGGGUGCGUUGUACUCUUUUUCUCCUACGAUCAAGGUUCAGUUUUUCUCUCACAGGGUUUUUGUGACUUGACGAGGUUUUUGACGAGGCAACAGAUCAGCACCAUCGGCAUAUCAGCGCGCGGCACAAGGGGGAGUGUUCUAGGAUAUUCUCUAUGUGUGCCUUGGCCUUAUGCCAAUAGGAUAUGUAGUUAGACUAGAUCUAUGUAUUCAUAUCCUUACCAUAUUGGUAUUGUGUAAUUCCCUAUAUAAAGGGCUCCUAUCAAUGAAUAAAAUGAUGACUCUCUUACUAUCUCUUUGUCUCUACAUUUUAUUCUUCAUCAAGAUGACAAAUUUACCCUUAAAUUCUCUUCUUUUUUUCUUAGUUUUUUUCUUUGUUUUCAUAUUCGAAUUUUCAUUUUUUAGCUUUUUAUAUUUUUAGGAACGUAGAGAAAAAAUUCAUCGUCACUUUCUCCUUACUAGCUAAUAAUCAGUUUUUCAUCUCAAUCAUCCUUGAAUGUCAACGGCAACAACAAGAUCCUUGAGUGUCAGCAGCAACAACAAUGAUUGAACUUCUGUAUGUUUCCCCUCUUCAAUCUUCUUCAAGUUUAUAAAGGCCAACUGAGAUCAUCAAAUUUCAAAACCUCUUCUAAUAUUUAUGGAUUAUGAAAAACAAAUAAAAAAAACUAAGAAAAAAAGAGAACUUAAGGGUCAAUUGGUCAUCUUAAUGGUUAUAUAUACCAAUCUUAGGUUGAGAUAGAAACAUGAGAUACCGUUUUGAUAUUUUCAAAACUUGAUAUACCAAAGUUCAUAAGAAGCAAAAGUUCGCAUACCAUUUGGACGAAUUGCUCUUAUUGAAUGAAUAAUGAAACCAAUGUUCGAAUUUGACAUUUGGUCAAUUAAGGAACCUCCCCACUGCACUGCCCUUUUCAUAAUAUCAAAUACUAAUAUUUAUAUUAAACUAUUUCUUUUUAUGUAUCUCUAUUUAAGUAGCUAAUUUGGCUUAUAAAACAGUUUUUGGUUGAAUUUUGAAAAACCUAAAUUAUAUUUAUUAAUAUUUUACUAGUUUUAAAUAUUAUAUUUAUUUAUUAAAUGCGAAAAAAGUAAAUUGCAUAAGCCCCGCCUAGUCCCCGCCUAGGCUGUCCAGGCGCUAGGCUAUGGGUCGUCGCCCUCCUACCACCUUUUAGACCAUUGAUUAAGACAUGCUAUUACAGGUUUUAAUUGGAAAUUAGAGGGUGCACCACCACUAAAGCUAGUUAGCUAGUUAUUUGGAACUCUUGUUGAGGCCUAAAGACAGCAAGCACAAGGAAGAGUAAAUGCAAGAUAUCCAAGAUGAGAGCUAGACGUACCUCUGAUGAUGACAAUUUUGGUUAAAAUGUUGAAAAAUACAUUGCAGACAGUGAUGACAGCUAAGGGUUUCUUACAAUGUACUCUAUAUAUAUGAAGCUAAAUAAGAAAUAAAAAUAAUUGAUCUGCUUUUUUUUAAUUUUUUAUAAUUAUCUUGGGUUAUUAUUUCGACUCGAGCAUGUCUUAAUCAGUCUUGACUAAUGAAACAGGCCGGAAGACGAACCUAAAGAAAGAGUCUACUAUUCAUCUGCAACUUGAAUGUGAUAAUUACGGCCUUAUCACGGCAUCGAUCAUUUCAUACUUCUCAAGAUUUGCCUAGGGGGCUCCUUGCCGCCCCUCUCCAAGAUUUUCUUCAUCCUCCAACAGUUGAUUGAGCUCAAUGCAUUAUCUUAGGCGAUCGAGCUGCUUCAAUUUAUUCACAAGUUUUGUUGAAUUUCUGUUAGGACUUUCAAAGUUAAUUACUUCAAUUAAAUAAGGCGAUUGUAUGAUCUCCAUGCAUUCUACUGAUAUAAGAAGAUCUGAAAAAUUAAUUUGGUAAAGUUUGUUCUAAUUAUCUAAUUAAGGGUGAUACCUAACUGGAAGCAAACUAUCAAUUUCGUUUGAACAUGCAGUCAUCAAAGUACGUCUGUCGUACAAUCAGAUCUGUUGAUAAGCAUGCAUGAAAGUGAUUGACCAGGUAUAUUUUCUUCACUUUCAUAUCACGAAACUACCAUUCCUCAUUUUGCUUCUGCGUAUGUGGUUAGAAUAAGGAGUUAAGGACCAUGUCUAAAAGUAAACAUCCCCUACGCAAUUUCAUACACGCAUCGUAUUACAAUAUCCAAAUAGUCAAUAAUCACCAACAACUUCUUGUUCAAUGAUCCACUAUAUAUACGAGUCCCUCCCUCCCUCCAAUGCACCACAAAACAUAUUCCAAGAGAGAUAUAUAUUCAUCAUAGAGUAAAAACCUAGAUUGAAAGAAAAGCAAAGAUGUCUGAUCAAUGCCAAUCCGAAGGUAAUUUUCAUGCAUGAUCUGGUUCCUUAAUUGGUUUCUGCAGUACUUAUAAAGUAAUUGAUCGAUGCGAAUACUAAUUGUUUCUUGUCCAUUUGUAACAAAUAUGUGCAGGUAAGAGUUCAUGGCCUGAACUGUUGGGAGCUCAAGGAACAGAUGCGAAGGCAACGAUUGAGAGCGAAAACUCUUCAGUCACGGCAGUGAUCGUGCAAGAAGGAUCGAUUGUCACUCAAGACAUCCGGUGUGAUAGAGUUCGCGUUUGGGUCGACUCCUAUGGUAUUGUCACCAGGGUUCCUAUCAUCCAGUAAUUGAUCGAUACUAGCAAGUCUGCCCUCUGCUUCAUGCGUAUAUAUUUGGGAAGAAAAUAAAUACUGAAAUAAAUAAGUUUAUUUCCAUGCAAUAUUGAUUGUUAGUCGACAUAGUUUGUACGUUUUCAUUUGGACGUGUGUAGUCUGUUAAUGAUAAAUAAAACACUACUGCAUUUCUCCUCCUUGUUUCUCGAUCCAAAUGUUGUUGAAGGUUUCAACAAUACUUCCCCUACAUACUUCCCCUAAUGAAUUGUAUUUCCAUGCAAUACGUAGUUCGUUUUCCUUUCAGUGUAUUCUCAAUCAAUCUAUAUAAAUAAAGAAACUCUUGCCUUUUCUUCUCUCCUGUAUAUUCUAUUUUCUGAUGAACUACAGAUCAACAGAUGUGAUUAGGGUUUUCUUUCAGUACACCAUACAUAAGAAUCUAUGCUUCCUUCACACAAAGCAGAUAAACAUUGUCAAUUUAUUUUAAAGAGUAAAGUGACCAAACAUAGAUUAAUCUGCAGAACAAAACUAAAAUGAUCACUUAUACCAAACUUUACCUUGUUUAACCGACUACAUGGUGCAAUACCGCAACUAAUUAACCACGCACGUACAGAAGAAACUUCAUAUUUUGCAACGAACUAUUGGUAGAGGUGAUCGAUUGACGUACGGACGUAACAUUAGUUCUUCUCUCUUUUGCAAAAUGAGUUUUGGCUUCGGACUUUCCUUGGUGUCAGUUAACUUCCCUAAACAAAAUGACUCAAGAUAUAGUUCCUUUGCACAAGUAAGAAACAGAUCGAUAAGAUACAAGCAAUAUGUCUUCGAUUAUACAAGAUUGUAUGUAGUUCGCGAUUUCUUGGCAAAGGAACGUCCAACAGGCACUUUGGAUCAAUUGUGCCACCAUACCAUUCACUGAUUCUGGUGUCACCCUAAACACUUUUUGCUGUUUAUUCCGCAGACUGUUUCUGUUUCUAGUUUGUUUCAUUAGUUGUCCAUACUUGGAAAUGCUAAGCAGCAAAAUUAUAUUGUUGUUAAUUGGUUUCUUUUACAUGUUGUUCAUGUUUGAUGUUUCAGUUUGCAGGAAUCUUAAAGAAUAACUCUCUUGAAUUUUACUUGAUGUGGAGAGAAUUCCUUACUGUUAAGGCCGGCCUAAUUGUCAACUAGAGGGUGUCCAUGCAGACCAUUACUAAUUAAGACCAAGGUUCUGGACUCUGAAAGUCUGGAGCAGUACAAAACUAAAACGAAUCUUAAUUACCGAAUUAUAGCUUGUUUAACAAACUACAUAGUGCAAUACAGCAACCACAGAAGAAACCUACUUACUUUGGAAAGAACCAUUGGUAGAGGCUAGGUGACCACUAGUAAUUCUCUGUCGUGGAUGCACAUAGUAGUAGCUGCUUCCUUUGCUGCGAGACCAAGUGAAGGGGUAUAUAUACAUGGCUUACCUGAGAGUGGCUAGCUGAGGCACAUCUCCCUCGUUGGAGAUUUUUAACGUACAAUCAGAUAUAAUCGCCACAUCGAGUGCAAGUGAUACUUCGUUUGCUUUCGCUCCGAGUUUUGUUCCUAUAGGUUUCGAAUGGAAAAGGUUUUGAUGAAUGAUGAGGGCUCCUUGAUCUGAUCAAAUGGAGUUGUCUAAUUAUACAAUUAUUGGUAAGUGGAAAACUACAGUAGCUAGCAAAUUACCGAUGUCUUUUGAAUAAUACCUAUAUAUCAUCUAGUACAAUCAGAUUUGUUGAUAAGCUUCAAUAAAACUNNNNNNNNNNNNNNNNNNNNGCAGGAAAACUGGAAUUCGACGGACUCGCCGGGGAGGGAAAGUGGUCGGGGAAGCUGCUGGAGUCCGCUGGGGUGGAGGCGCGCCCUCACCAGCGCCGUACGGUGGCGAACAGAAGGAAAUCCGCACCUUAAGGCUGUGCGGACGUCCGUAUCUGAAACGGACUGUAUAUAUAUAUAUAUAUAUUUAUAUACAGGGCCCUUCCAAUGAGGGAUCCUUAUUUUUUGUCACUUUUAGGGAUAGGCCCACACUAUUAGAGCUGUUUUUUAAUGAGCUUAGAUGGCUGAGAUUAAAACAAAAAACUUAACACUUAUGUCAAAUCUACACCGUUCAAGAUCAUUAAAAAUAAAUCAAACAUUUGGAUGACUUAACGAUCACCAAAUUUUCUGAAAAUUUGCAUAAGUGAUCUACUUAUAUAUACCUACAAACUGAACGGUAGAGAUGUGAUUUAGUGAUCGGGAAGUAUGUCAAAUACCCUAUCCCUAGAAAUGAACAAAAAAAAGAUCCCUCAUUGGAAGGGCCUAGUACAAUCAGAUUUGUUGAUAAGCUUCAAUAAAACUGAUCGACCUUUCUGUUAUUCCUAAUUGACAGGAUCUAUAUUGUGUUAGAAAUGUAUCCCUUAAUUUCCAGAUUUUUGUGGUUGUUGAGCUAAUCUGUAAUGAAGGUGUUAUUACUAUUAGAAGUAUUGGAGAGGAAUAGAUCCCACAUCAGAAAAGUGACAAAUAAAAUAUAACUUAUAUGUGGAUGGAUCUUAUCCAAUUGUACCGAGACCUUUUGUGAUUAAAACCUAACACCUUAAAGGUGGUUAAUUAAGUUGGGACAGUAUCGGUACAAUGUGAUCCACGGGCCACGCUUGUCGCUGUUUAACAUGGUAUCAGAGCGGGUCCCUCUCCAAUUACUUCUCCAAUUCUCAUGGGCCCGAUUUGGGUUCAUUCUCUCGUCCGGUCCGAGAUUCUAUUCUCUCGCCCGGUUCCGGCUUCUUCACCAAGUGUCCCUUGGUUCGUUCCGUCCCGAUUCAUUCCACGUGCGGGACCUUGAGUCAGGUUACACGUAAGGGGGCGUAUUAGAAGUAUUGGAGAGGAAUAGAUCCUACAUCAGAAAAGUGACAAAUAAAAUAUAAUUUAUAUGUGGAUGGAUCUUAUCCAAUUGUACCGAGGCCUUUUGUGAUUAAAACCCAACACCUUAAAAGUGGUUAAGUUGGGACAAUAUCGGUACAAUGUGAUCCACGGGCCACGCUUGUCGCUGUUUAACAAUUACAGCUUAAUUAGCUAGAAUUAGUUUUUGUUAAUGAUCAUAGGAUUCCAGCAUGGUUUGCUGAUAGUGAUCAACAGCUACAUGUCACGUGUUAUCAUACAUGUGCUCAUGGUCCUCUAUUUAUCUUGGACUUUUUCCUCUUCUAUUGUUGUAAAAGCUGAACAAUAUUUUUCAUCAAUAUAGAGUCUCUUCUCCUUUUCUGCAUUUUUCUGUACUUACUGCAAUUCUUUUAUAUUGUUCUUCAUUUUUUCAUACCACGAACCUCCUAGCUAUUCUUCAUUUUGCUUCUACGUGGUUAUGAGUCAUGGCAAAGAUCACCUAAUCUCCAAAAGUAAACAGCCCCUACGCGCACGUCUUAUCAUAAGAUCCGAAUAGUCAAUAAUAACCAACCACAGCUUGAUCAACGAUCCACUAUAAGUAUGAAGCUCUCGUUCCCUCAUCUCCAAGGCUCCAACCCACAGCAAACAUAUUACAAGAGAUUCAUCAAAGAGAGUUAAACUCAAGACUGAAAGAAAGCAAAGAUGGCUGGUCAAUCCGUAGGUAACGUUCAAUUGUUCAUGCAUGACCUGCUUCCUUGGUUUUUGCAGUUAUGAAGUAAUUAUUGAUCCUUGUGUGCUCAUUUCUUUGAUUCCAUGUAUAAAAUUAUAUGUAGGUAAGGAAUCCUGGCCUGAACUGUUGGGAGCUGAAGGGACAGUUGCAAAGGAAAUAAUUGAGAGCGAAAACGCUUCAGUCACAGCAGUGAUAGUGCUAGAAGGAACACCUGUUACUAGAGAUUUCCGGCUUGAUAGGGUUCGUGUUUGGGUCAAUACAGAUGGCAUUGUUAUCAGUAUCCCUAAAAUUGGGUAACUGAUCGUCUGAUCGUCCAUAACCAUGGUUACUAGCUAGUCUUCUUCAAACCUGUGAUGAAAAUCAUAUGAAAUAAUACUGAAAUAAUAAGGAGAGAGUUGUAUUAAUUUCCAUGCAAUAUCAAUUGUGUUAAUUAAACAGUGUACCCAGUUUGUUUCCUUUUGUGUAUUCUUAAGGAAUCUAUAAACAAAGAAUAAUUGCCUUUUCUUUUCCUCUUAAUAUUGUUGUUGUGAUCUGUUCAACUAGAACUGUGGUUCGGGUUUUUUAAGUACACCAAACAUAUAUAUGAAUGUAGAUAUAUAGGCCUUCAACUAGUCUUAUCAAACAGAUAUUAAUCAACUUGUAACGAGUAAAAUGACCAAACAGAUAAAGAUAAUCUGGACUCUGGAAGUCCGGAGCAGUACAAAACUGAAACGAAAAUUAAUUACCAAAUUAUACCUUGUUUAACAAACUACAUCGUGCAAAUACAGCAACCACAGAAAAGAAACCUACUUUGGGAAGAACCAUUGGUAGAGGUGACCACCGGUACUUCUUCUCUGUCUUGGCUUUAGACUUUCCCUGGUGUCAGUCAAGUUCCGUACGUAUGCAAAUGACCCAAGAAACAGUUCCUUUGCGCAAGUAGAAACCGAUGAUAAACCAAGUUCCAUUACAAAACAUGACUCUGUGACAUCGUGAACGUCCAACCGGCGCUGUGGAUCAGUUGUGCACUGCCACACCAUACCGUUCAAUGAUUCUUGUAGCUUCUGCUUUUGUAGCCAUCAACGUUUUGCUGUUCAUUUUGCUGCAAAUUCUUCUACAUCCUCCGUUAUGUUGAUUGAGCGCAAUGUCAGCUUGAAGAUCGAGCAUUAUCCUUGGCGACCUGCUAUAAUUGGUUAAACUUCUGUUAGCACUUCUAAAUUAAAUGGGUUCUAUGGUCUCCAUGCAUUAAUGUACUGGUUGAAGAAGAAAAUUAAUUUUAGUAAACUUCACACAAUCACAGUAUUUUAAUUUAGCUAAAAUUCCAUUGCAUCAUGCAAGCAGAUACCUAUAUAUGUUUAUAUGUUCUUCAAAGUUAAGUUAGUCUUCAUUUUUGGCUUGUUAAUUGUAGAUAAUUAAUUAUGCCUUUAACAAGCUUUUUAGUAAAUUUGUACUGAUUAAAAUGGUUUCAUGCAUACAGCUUUCAUUAGUUUCUCAUUUUAAUGGUAAUUCAGGCCAGUUACAGCUCCACGUACUUGUUUGAUGAUCAAGUUAAAUCAUGCAAAAACGCUAGCUCCUUAACUUGGUUAGAUUUCCGAAGAGGAAAUUCGUACCAUAUAGUAGAAGUCUCAAACAUUAACUAAACAUGGAUGACACAUCUUCCAUUAACUGCUUCCUUUGCUGCAACGACAAAUCGAGGGGUAUAUACUUGGCUUACAUGAAGCACAUUAACUCUAUUUGACUAGAUUAAGGCUCCUAAUCUGAUCAAACGGAUCGAGUUCUUCUAAGCAAAUAAAAAGUUUUUGAGAUAUAAAUCCCACAUCCACAUCAGGAAUAUGAGACAUUGUCUAUAGGUUUAUAAGGGUUUAAGCCUUUUUAUUCAUUAUCAAUUGGUUUUCGAUGUGAACAUUUUACUACUUUAUCAAAAAAUUUGACUAAACAAAUAAUCUAAUAAUGAAUUUAAUUCGGAGUUCUGAUUAUAGUAGCUAACUACCAAUAUCUUUUGAACAAUACCUAUCAUCAAAGUACGUCUGCAGUACAUUCACAUUUGUGGAUAAGUUCCUAGCUAAUUGACCACGUAUAUGUUACAUGUUCUUCAUUUUUCAUACCACGAAACUACUAUUGUUUGUUCUUCAUUUUGCUACCUUGCGUGGUUAUGAGAAUAAAGAUCUCGUAGUCUAUAAAAUAAUAGUACAAAAAUAAACAGUCUCUACGCAAUUUCAUGCAUGCAUCUUAUUAUAAGAUUCUAAAUAGUCAAUAAUCGCCAACCACAACUUGUUCAAUGAUCUUCAAUCGAAAAAAAGAACACGUUCAAUGAUCUUUUAAUUUAUAAAGAACUUGUUCAAUGUUAUACUAUAUAUAUGAUCCUCUCCUUCCCUCUAAUAAACCACAAGCAUAAUAUUGCAAGAGAGAUAUUCAUCAUCAUAGAGUAAAAGCCUAGAUUGAAAAGAAAGCAAGCAAAGAUGUCUGAUCAAUGCGAAGGUAAUGUUCAUUCGUUAUCUGGUUCCUUAGUUUCAGCUAUUAUAUAUAAAAUAAAUAGUUGAUGCGAGUACUAACCUUUUCUGAGUUCAUGUAUGAAAUAUAUGCAGGUAAGGAUUCAUGGCCUGAACUGUUGGGAGCUCAGGGAACAGUUGCAAAGGCAACAAUUGAGAGCGAAAACGCUUCGGUCAAAGCAGUGAUAGUGCUAGAAGGAACAAGUGUCACUGACGAUUUCCGGCUUGAUAGGGUUCGUGUUUGGGUCAAUACAGAAGGGAUUGUCACCAGUGUCCCUAAAAUUGGGUAAAUGAUGGAUUGAUCGUCCAUAACCAUGGCUACUAGCUAGUCUCUUUCAAACCUGUGAUGAAAAUCAUAUGAAAUAAUCCUGAAAUAAUGACUUGUAUUUCCAAAUUGUAUUAAUCAGAUGGUUGUUUGUUUUCCUUUCAGUGUAAUCUCAAUCAAUCUGUAUAAAGAAAUUAAAAUGUUUAUUUUCACGAGCAAGAAAUCGAUAAAGCAAGUUUAUUUUCUCAAUCUAUCUCAUCCUCCUACUGAUUCUGGUUUGUUCAUGAGUUGUCCAUAAUUGGAACUGUUAAAGCAGCACAAUAUUAUGUUCUUCAUGAUCUUCAAACGUCUGAUCGUUUGCUGCAAUUGACCUGUUUCUU
This 21873-nucleotide long non-coding RNA is filed under the name Fragaria vesca (wild strawberry). RNAcentral describes it as "long non-coding RNA (FVES_LNC000352)". Lineage: Eukaryota; Viridiplantae; Streptophyta; Magnoliopsida; Rosales; Rosaceae. The record is from RNAcentral.